RNA transcript from Aethina tumida (small hive beetle), 1480 nucleotides. RefSeq lists it as uncharacterized. NCBI's taxonomy places the organism in Eukaryota, Metazoa, Arthropoda, Insecta, Coleoptera, Nitidulidae. The record is from RefSeq and is a predicted model, not a curated record. The transcript is spliced from 10 exons.
GUCAAAACGGUCGCCAUUAAGGUGCCAGUCCAACAAUAAUAAUUUUUAUAGUUUGGAUCAAGCAACUAUUUAUUAUUAACGGAAACAAGAAAUAGAGAACUUAUUACGCUCAUGUUUUGACUUGACAUCAUUUGGACUAAAGUCUAGUCUGAAUUGUUUUGGUACUGGUUUUAUAUUUUAAUUCUGGAUUGUCGUGUGAUACCCUGUAAACUAUGGAUGAAGGUCCGGCAAGUAAAAAGGCCAAAGGCUUUGCAGAAAAGGAUCCAAAUAAAAAAGACUUAGCUACACUGCCAGAGAAAAUUUUGUUAAAAAUUUUCAGUUAUUUAGACUUGAAAUCACUUAACAAUUGCGCAAUGCUGUGUUCAACACUCAAUAACUUAUCAAAAUCCAGUUGUUUGUAUAAAAGUGUUCAUUUAAAAUACAAUAUGAGUUCACAUUUUCUCAGCUCCUUAGUAUCAAAAGUGAGCAGACCAAAACAUUUAUUUAUUGAAUAUAAACACCAAGAUGAAAAUACAGAGGAUUACUCAGAGUUUAAUCAGUUUGUUACCUUAUUGUUAAGAAAGUCUGGAGAACAUUUGGAAUCACUAAGAGUUGAAAGUUGUAGGUGUGAAGAAGUUUUAAACAAUAUAUCAGAGUGUACAAAUCUAAAAAAAUUGGGGUUAUAUAGAUGUAAAGGAACCUUUUCAACACUGUCUUCAUUAAAUAGACUGCAAAACCUUUCAUUAGUGUUAUGUCAUUUUUUACCCAAAACAGUGAGUGAAUUACUUCACAAUAAUUCUAAUUUAAUUCACGUCUUUCUCUCUUCUAAUGAUAACGUAGAUGUUAAUGAAGUUUGCGAGGUUCUCUCUCAACACAAUCUAGAUGUGAGGGAAUUAUAUUUAAGUGAAAAAAAGAAACUGAAAGCAAAAGGUGUAAAAUCCUUGGCAAGAUUAUGUGAUCUGAGAACUUUAACUUUGAUUAACGGACCUGGUUCAAAUUGGGAUCCAGAAGAUUCACUUGAACAAGUUGCUGCAGGUUGUUCUAAAUUGGAAAAGCUUUCCAUUUAUGGUUGGAGAGGUUUGAAUGACGACAAUUUUAUACCAGCCUUGCAUAUGUUUACGCAGAUUACGGAAUUGGAUCUACGUGGAACGAAUAUAACUGUAAAAAGUUGUCGAGAAGCCGCUUUAACACUGCCAAAGUUGAAACUGAUGGACGUUAUCAAGUGUCACAGGGUCAAAAAGUCACAACUCGCCAAAUUGCAAAAAGACUUUUCAGAGAUCUACAUACCAUUAGAGUGAAUUUUAUAGGAAUUUAUUUUCUAUGUAGAUAGUUUUCUCAUUUUAAUUCUUAAUUUAUUGAGCACUACAAUAAUAAUUAUUUUUAUAAUGAAUUUUUCGUUACGAUAUUGUUGUUUAUCUGCGACGUCAAUCAAUUAAUUAAAAUAAAAAAACAAUGGAGGUUUACAUUUAUAUUUAUGUACAAUAUACAAAUUAUUUACAUG